UUGGGUGAAGUUCCAGCCUCCUUUCAAAGCUCCAGGUGCACACCGUUGGAGACUUUGAAGUACGGAAGCAGGCUUAAGGUUGAAACUGGGCCCCACUGGACCAGACCCAGAUCUUGUCCAUCGGAUGCUCCUCAAGGCUCAUGGGUUUGUCCCAGAUAGGGCACUUAGUAGGGCUGUCAACGGGCUGGGUGACCCGUCAGGGUUUCUGGCGGGCUUAGCCUGGAAUACUAGGCCAGAAGGCCAGGGCCUGACCUAAAAGUUAAGCCCGUUUGACUGGCUCGAGCUUUGUUUAGAAGCUCGUUGGCCCAGUCCUGCCCAUUUAGGAUUUCAAGGGCAUUUUUGUCAUGCAUGAUUCAUAGUGGGAGAUCUUGUCCAUAAGUGGUUUUUGGGCUCCUGCUCGGACUGGACUCGGAUUUGAGCCAUGCAUAAUCAUCAUAGCCUAGGAUCGGUCUUGCUUGUUUUCGCAUAUCAUGAACCCGGGCAUGGACAGGACGAGGUCUGUCAAAGACUGGUCCACAAAGUAAAACCUACACCUGAACCCGGGCCACUCCCAUGGUGGGUCAAAACAAACAGGCCUGACCCAUGAUGAUUAUGCAUGACCCGAUCCUGGCCACCCACUUCUUUGCAAGAUCUGGGCUGUUCAUUGGCUGUGCCCCCAUCGUGUAUGAUAUUAACAAAAAUGCCUUUUUCAGCUAAGCUUAGGCAAGAUGAUGGGCUUCUAUACACAGCCCUUGGAGGCCCUGGCACGAAAGCCUGAUGAACCUUCCACCUACUAAUGACAGCCCUAAGGGUACUAUUUGGGCUUGCAUCUGCUUAAAGGCCUGAGAAGUAGAUAUGGCCCAUCCUUAAGUAAAACAGAUGGACCUAUGAAAUUGGAUAGUGGGCCCGACCCAGUUUCAACCUUGUGUAAACCCAUGGAGGUGUUGAGAGGACAGUGGCAAUUUGUCUGUGUGUGUAUAUUGAUUGGGCAAGCUUCCGAUCUCCCUCGAUAGGCUCCGAAUGCCCUCGACUAAUGUCUGUAUGGAGUUCGGAGCAAUCAAGGGAGGUCAAGAGCUUACUCCUCAUGAUUCUUUCUGGGCCCUGGACGGCCCAUUGGCAGCCUUGAAUCUCGAUCUCUUUUGUGCCUCUGGAUGUUAUAAACCGUUGGAUGCUCACACCAUGAUCUAUCCAUCGGCCUCGUCUACCGGGUUGGGAUCCACAACAAAGCUGUGUGGAUUAAGUUUAACAUAGGACGAAAUUUGUGGGCCCCACUGGUAUUUUCAUGACAUCCAAUCCAUCCAUCAUGUGCGCCCCACACACACACACACACCCUUCUCAUCUUCUCUGUUGUGACACCAAUCCAAAACUCAGGUGGGCCACGGUUUACACAACGGAUCGACUGCUUAAAAAGCCUCAGCUUAGUUUUUCUAAGCCAUAUGCUUUGUAUUAACAUCGUGGGCGGCAUGGUGAGUGGGUCAACAUCAUUUUUGGGCCAUAUCAUAUCCAUGAUCGGACCAAACUGAUGGACAGCUUUGUUAGGAUUAUACUUUCAGCCUAAUGUUUGUGUUAUAAUCCAUCUCCGAUGUCCCAUUAUUUGGACAGUUCGUAUUCGAGGUACAUGGUACAGGCCAUGCGAGCCUCACCAGAUGUAUCACAGCCCCUGUCUGUCUUUGAUGAGGGCACGGAGGUAUGACAUUGUAUCCGUCCAUCAUAUAAGUCUUGCUAUGUAGAGACCCCUUGAUGUAGAGCAGGUCACAUACACUUUCAUGGUAAAGAUGGAUAAAAAAGGAUCCGGACCAUCAGAACCUUAAAUCAGUUAUAUCUCGCAAACUGGAAUGAGUUUUUCAACAUACCAUAUAUGAUUUUGAGUAGAAGAACAUACUUGAGCCAACCAACCCGGCUAUAUCAGACUGCCCGCAUAAGAUUUGUGAGAUUCCAUCAGUCCCGUUUAUUUUUGUUUUCACUAUAAAUAAUAAGUUUUAGUUGGAGUAUUAACUUUUGAUCAUUUGAGUUGUACAAGUCGUGCCCAAACCAUGAAGUCUAAGUAGUUGGAGUCUGUUUAAAACUUCAUCCUAACUGUUUAAAUAUUCUACGAGGAGUCCAUGGCCAAAAAGAUAAGCGAUUCCACUCAUCAAUUUUCUGAUGGGCUACAUGUUGAAGACAAGGGUAAAAUGAUUUACCCAUGGCUCACCGGUAGGCAUGGCCAAAAAGUUAGGUGACUCCACUCAUCAGAAUUCAGAUGGGCUACAUGUUGAAGACAAGGGUAAAAUGAUUUACCCAUGGCUCACCGGUAGGCAUGGCCAAAAAGAUUAGGUGACUCUGCUCAUCAGAAUUCAGAUGGGCUACAUGUUGAAGACAAUGGCAAAAUGAUUAACCAAUGGCUCACUGGUAGGUUAGAGUGUAUUUCAACGCUGAGGUCAUGAGUUUGAAUACUCAUGUUGAGCGUGCAUGUGAGUGUUGAAACCCAAACCCAUGGGUACUCGAACCCAUGACCUUAGGGUUGAAAUGUGCUCUAUUUACCAUUGAACCAUGGGUUGCAACCUGUUUAAAAGUCACUCUGAUAAAUACACCAAUCGAGAAAGCCACAACAGAAGAAAAGCUGCUAAAGAGGGUAGAAAUCUGCCUUGUCACAGGAGCAAUACAGGUUGUUGAAAGCUGCUCUUAUCCACAGCAAAGGCGUUUGAGAGUUAUAAAAAAAAGGGUAGAAAUGACCGUUCUCGCAAUAACUUGCCAUGCAUCAACAACAAUUGUUGGACUUUUACUCUCUUUUUUUCUUCUUUUUUAUUUGUUAGAGUAUGAAAUACGUACUUCUACUUAAAUACAUUCAUGUAAAUCUGUUGGGAUCUCCUAUAGUUCUUUAGGAAUAAGAUGUCUUUCAUUUUCCAAUUCUCACAUCCUGAAAUCUGUGCGGAUCUCAUUAUUUUAAUGCCCUGAUCUAAGAAUCAAGCCCAUCCAUUAAUCAGAUGUGCCACACUUUAGCAUGGCUCCAAAAACAUUUAAAAAUAUAUAUUUUUUAAGCUGCCCAAACAACACCAUUGUCCAAAUUAAAAGUGGAAUUACUUGAUUUUUUAUGGAGAACAUCUAGAUAUCAAACCAUAUGAUGGACGGCUUGUAUAUAUUACACCAAUCUGCCACAUUGGCACUUAGCAAGCCACCACAUAUCCUCAUCUUUAAGUUUUGGAUCUCUAUUCAUCUUCCUAGGUUGCAUUUUCUGGAUGGAUUUGAUGUGAUGUACGCCACACACAUUCUAAUUUUUUGAGUUGUGGGCCUCCCCGCCCCAAUUGUUCCCUUUGGUGUGUCUUACCUAGGUUUUGGAUCAACUUGAUUUUUAGGCAAAAAGGAGAACAGGAGAGGGAGCAAAUGAUGAACGGAUUGGACGUCACCCUCACAUCCUAGUGGGCCCAACUACAAAGUUUGUAAUUAAUUGUUUUAUAUAUUUGAAAGAAACAGAGCUAUUGGACCAUUUGAAGCUUAAUUUCAAUGUUGCACUUUAAUCCAUUUUUAUCAUUCACUAAUAUUAAACUAAUUUGUUUCUACAUUCUUUUCUUUAUUUUAAGAAUUAAUACUUUCAUUAAUAGAGAUGGAAGAAAACAUGCGCCGAAUGAUCCAUUGCAAUGUCCAAAGGUGAUUUAGGACCCCACUCUUCACAUGCAAUGGACCAGAAAUUGAGCAAGGCUGGACAUCACAUGGACAAUGAUCUCACACGCAUAUCAUGUUGAUUGCUGUGAUCUAGUUAAAGUACCGUUCUUUGAAUAAUCUGUUGGAUUACCCGAACUCCCAAGUGAUUUUCGGCACAUCUUCAACAAAGAAAGGAAAGAAUUAUUAAGAAAGUGGGGUGGUAAAAAAACAGAUAAA
Molecule: long non-coding RNA, 3834 nt
Organism: Magnolia sinica
Lineage: Eukaryota; Viridiplantae; Streptophyta; Magnoliopsida; Magnoliales; Magnoliaceae
Exons: 2
Source: RefSeq, a predicted model, not a curated record